Molecule: ribosomal RNA, 253 nt
Filed under: uncultured bacterium
Lineage: Bacteria
Description: partial 16S ribosomal RNA
Rfam family: Bacterial small subunit ribosomal RNA
Source: RNAcentral
UACGUAGGGAGCAAGCGUUGUCCGGAAUCAUUGGGCGUAAAGCGCGCGUAGGUGGCCAUGUAAGUCCGCUGUGAAAGUCAAAGGCUCAACCUUUGAAAGCCGGUGGAUACUGCAUGGCUAGAGUACGGAAGAGGCGAGUGGAAUUCCUGGUGUAGCGGUGGAAUGCGCAGAUAUCAGGAGGAACACCAAUAGCGAAGGCAGCUCGCUGGGACGUCACUGACACUGAGGCGCGAAAGCGUGGGGAGCGAACAGG